GAAGUCGUAACAAGGUCUCCGUAGGUGAACCUGCGGAGGGAUCAUUG
Molecule: ribosomal RNA, 47 nt
Filed under: Ignatius tetrasporus
Lineage: Eukaryota; Viridiplantae; Chlorophyta; Ulvophyceae; Ignatiales; Ignatiaceae
Description: partial 18S ribosomal RNA
Rfam family: Eukaryotic small subunit ribosomal RNA
Source: RNAcentral